This 216-nucleotide ribosomal RNA is filed under the name Glomeromycotina sp. RNAcentral describes it as "partial small subunit ribosomal RNA". The stretch from base 40 to 216 matches the Rfam family "Eukaryotic small subunit ribosomal RNA", at positions 686 to 864 of the family's 1831-position model. Lineage: Eukaryota; Fungi; Glomeromycota. The record is from RNAcentral.
GGGUCAGUAGGUUGGUCGUGCCACCGGUACGUACUGGUCUCACUGAUUCCUCCUUCCUGAAGAACUGUAAUGCCAUUAAUUUGGCGUUGCGGGGAAACAGGACUGUUACUUUGAAAAAAUUAGAGUGUUUAAAGCAAGCUAACGCUUGUAUACAUUAGCAUGGAAUAAUGAAAUAGGACGAUCGAUCCUAUUUUGUUGGUUUCUAGGAUUGACGUA